AUUGAACGCUGGCGGCAUGCCUUACACAUGCAAGUCGAACGGCAGCACGGGUGCUUGCACCUGGUGGCGAGUGGCGAACGGGUGAGUAAUACAUCGGGACGUACCUUAUCGUGGGGGAUAACGCAGCGAAAGCUGUGCUAAUACCGCAUACGCCCUGAGGGGGAAAGCGGGGGAUCGCAAGACCUCGCGCGAUUAGAGCGGCCGAUGCCUGAUUAGCUUGUUGGUGGGGUAAAAGCCCACCAAGGCGACGAUCAGUAGCUGGUCUGAGAGGACGAUCAGCCACACUGGGACUGAGACACGGCCCAGACUCCUACGGGAGGCAGCAGUGGGGAAUUUUGGACAAUGGGGGCAACCCUGAUCCAGCAAUGCCGCGUGAGUGAAGAAGGCCUUCGGGUUGUAAAGCUCUUUUGUCAGGGAAGAAACACCGGCUCUAACACAGUCCGGGAAUGACGGUACCUGAAGAAUAAGCACCGGCUAACUACGUGCCAGCCGCUGCAGUAA
This 501-nucleotide ribosomal RNA is filed under the name uncultured bacterium. RNAcentral's name for it is "partial 16S ribosomal RNA". It matches the Rfam family "Bacterial small subunit ribosomal RNA", at positions 30 to 523 of the family's 1533-position model. The record is from RNAcentral.